UGGGGAAUUUUGGACAAUGGGCGAAAGCCUGAUCCAGCCAUGCCGCGUGAGUGAAGAAGGCCUUCGGGUUGUAAAGCUCUUUUAGUCGGAAAGAAAGAGUUGCAAUGAAUAAUUGUGAUUAAUGACGGUACCGACAGAAAAAGCACCGGCUAACUACGUGCCAGCAGCCGCGGUAAUACGUAGGGUGCGAGCGUUAAUCGGAAUUACUGGGCGUAAAGGGUGCGCAGGCGGUCUUGCAAGUCAGAUGUGAAAGCCCCGGGCUUAACCUGGGAAUUGCGUUUGAAACUACAAGGCUAGAGUGCAGCAGAGGGGAGUGGAAUUCCAUGUGUAGCAGUGAAAUGCGUAGAGAUGUGGAAGAACACCGAUGGCGAAGGCAGCUCCCUGGGUUGACACUGACGCUCAUGCACGAAAGCGUGGGGAGCAAACA
RNAcentral lists this ribosomal RNA (427 nucleotides) under uncultured beta proteobacterium. Its description in RNAcentral is "bacterial SSU rRNA". It matches the Rfam family "Bacterial small subunit ribosomal RNA", at positions 355 to 774 of the family's 1533-position model. Lineage: Bacteria; Pseudomonadati; Pseudomonadota; Betaproteobacteria. The record is from RNAcentral.